Non-coding RNA from Ophiobolus disseminans, 143 nucleotides. The record is from the annotation of a GenBank genome assembly. NCBI's taxonomy places the organism in Eukaryota, Fungi, Ascomycota, Dothideomycetes, Pleosporales, Phaeosphaeriaceae.
GGUCUUGUGGUCUAGUGGUAUGAUUGUAAGAAAACCCUAUGAAGCUACCCCUUGAGAUCCUUCACUAACAGAACAUCAGCUCGCUUAGGGUUUACCCGAGCAUUGCUUGCGAGAGGCCCCGCGUUCGAGUCGCGGCAAGACCC